ACUUAAAUAAUUUAAUAAAAAUAUUGAUUUGUGGAGUCAAAAAUAUGAUGAAAUCAUUUUAGGUC
RNAcentral lists this transfer RNA (65 nucleotides) under Tanaecia julii. Its description in RNAcentral is "tRNA-His". Lineage: Eukaryota; Metazoa; Arthropoda; Insecta; Lepidoptera; Nymphalidae. The record is from RNAcentral.